Non-coding RNA from Chrysemys picta bellii (western painted turtle), 324 nucleotides. NCBI's taxonomy places the organism in Eukaryota, Metazoa, Chordata, Testudines, Emydidae. The record is from RefSeq and is a predicted model, not a curated record.
UUCAGUAACCAACGGAAUCAAAACAGACGAGAGAACGAAACAGGUCCCAGGCAUCCUGCUUUAUGCUGAAGUCCAGCACCCACUGGUGGCUCGAGCCCCAGCCCCUCCCCCCACACGGCACCACGGUCUAUGCCACUAUUGUCUGAUGCCCCAGUUCCGCUUCCCCCUCCUGUCCACCCCCUUCAUGAGUUGCAUUAACACCCUGGCUCCCAUCCCAGGUGAUGGGAAAUUCAGCUGGAAGAUGCAAGAAAUCUGUUAGAAUCUUGUGGUGGGGAGUUCCACAGGUUAACGGAUUGUGGCAUUAAAAUCUGCCCUUGAAACCCU